AUUCAGCUAGCUGUGAGGAAUGAUGAGGAGCUUAGCAAACUAUUGGGAACAGUUACCAUUGCAAAUGGUGGUGUUUUGCCCAACAUCCACCAGAAUUUGUUGCCAAAGAAAAUUGGAAAAGGGAAGGGUGAUAUUGGUUCUGCGUCUCAGGAGUUUUAAGAGUAUUUAAUAUGUGAGAUUAAUGUUUUCAAGAUUUCAUAAGUUGGCUGAGAGUGGGAUCAGAGACCAGUUUUUGCCUGUGAAUUGUGAACGCAUAAAUUUUUCGGUAGGGAUCAUGAUUGAAUGCAGGAAAGGAAGCGAUUUUGUCAUAAACCAUCUAUACGUGGUGGUAUUGAACUUUUGAUUUAUAUUAUCAAUGGAAAUUAUGUUUUUAUGUUCUUAAACAGUCGCUGCAUUUUGUUUACUAGUGUGAUUUGAAAAGUCAAUGUGACGUUCUUUUGCGUGGCAAGAUUGUUAAACCCAUCAUCUGCAGUGGACAGGC
RNAcentral lists this unclassified non-coding RNA (481 nucleotides) under Hevea brasiliensis (rubber tree). Lineage: Eukaryota; Viridiplantae; Streptophyta; Magnoliopsida; Malpighiales; Euphorbiaceae. The record is from RNAcentral.